CUGGUGUUAAGUUGUAAGCCAUGUUAAACUUAAAAGGACACCGUAAGCACCCAGACCACUUAAACUCAAUGAUAUCUGUAUUCCAAAUGCUAUGUGUUCCUUAAGUUAUCAUAUCUCUGAUAGAGGAUUACCCAUAUUUCUGAUCUAUUUUGGACAAUUGUAAACAUGAGUGCAGUUUGGUUUUGCUUUUAGCAUGCUGCAAAUGUCAUGCACUCACAUGAUGAGAGUCAGGAAAUAGGAAGUGCCGUCUGAUGCGAUAACUGACGAUGUUUCCUGCUCUG
Molecule: non-coding RNA, 281 nt
Organism: Pelobates cultripes (western spadefoot toad)
Lineage: Eukaryota; Metazoa; Chordata; Amphibia; Anura; Pelobatidae
Source: the annotation of a GenBank genome assembly